CAUAAAUUAAGCAACAAAUCAGCAGAGCAUGUAAAACCUGAUAAAUGUUUGAAUGAAUAAUAUAUGCGAUAAUUAUCAUUACAAAAAAUAGACGAGAUUAGAUAAAAGAAAACAUUUAGUUACGGUAGACCAGUGAGAGGUAGGGGCGGAGGAGAGGGAAGAAAUUCAUUCAGUGAAGAAAAGUUAUAUACUGAACUGUGCGUGUACGUGUAAUAAAUAUUUGGUAAAUAUUCAAUUCGAACAAUACGAAAAUUUGAUAUGAUCUGAAGCACAUUGUUGUGUUGAUGACGAUGACGAAAAACACUAGGGCUUCUCCUUAAGUCAAUUAACGAAGCGCUCUUUUGCGAAGAAAGUGCUCACAGCCGCUUGUAAUAACGAAGAACGAAUGAUUUAAUAAAAAUAAACUAAUUUUUGUUUUUUUUUUUGUUUUUAGGCUAAAGUUAAAAAGUUAACGGACAGACGUAUCGACAGAAAUUAAUCUAGUUUUCUGCUACGCUAUGAAUAAUUCCCUCCGACAAUAUAUUAUUUAUUACAAAUCCAGUGUAUGAGCGUGUUGAAGUCGACACACUUUAAAUUUGUUGUUCGCAUGCCAUAAUAACAUUGAAUUACCUUAGUCUCUUUAUAUUCAAGCUACUGAGACUGAGGUUGACUAAGAUAUUGGAAAUGAUGUGCAUAAGAACAUUGCGCAUCAAUUCUUUUUAUUAAACAAACAUAUCGCGCGUCGGUCUGUCUCUAAGUUUAACAAAGUUGUUGCAAUGAAAAAAGAUUAAGCAUUAAAAGCGCAACGAUGUCCAACUUGAAGCAAUAGGCGAUAGCUUGGGAGGCUCGCAGUUCACGCAGUGCACCUAAAAGAAGUGAAAAUCAAGAUCGUUGGCGAAGAAGAAAAUUGCCGGAUAGCGAGGUAUUUGUCGCGCUUGCACACAUAAAUAUCAAAAGUAGGAAAAUUGUAUUCGACUGUGACGAAAAUUUUUAUCUAAUGUUAAUACCAACUUGCGUGCAGAGGCUUCCCAAAUUUAAAGCUGGUGUCUUCAUUUUCGCGACCAAGACAGUAUUUGUCAUAGACGUUACACAAACGACAAACAAACAAACAAACAGAUAUGUUUACAUCCAGGUGAGAGUUCAAUGCUCACCAUGAACAUACGUACCUCAUGGGGUCGAUGAAAUCUUUCUCUAGACAUUGCGAAAGUCUGACGAAAUGAAUGUGCCUUCGUGGUGCUUUGGUGGUGAGAUUAUUGUUGCGCAUUCGGUAAACGACACCUCAUGCCAUAAUUAACUAGUCUGCUGUGAUGGUGAUUGUCUAACUGUUGCUGGUUUUUUGCUGGUAGUAGCGGUAUGCUGAUGACGGUGACGGUGGUGGCGUUAUAACGACGGACCGAAGCUUUUCGAAAGUUAUCAAAACAAAAAUAAAAAGAAAAACGAAAAAUAAAAAAAAUAAAUAAA
This is a long non-coding RNA of Glossina fuscipes, 1440 nucleotides long. RefSeq lists it as uncharacterized. The record is from RefSeq and is a predicted model, not a curated record. NCBI's taxonomy places the organism in Eukaryota, Metazoa, Arthropoda, Insecta, Diptera, Glossinidae. The transcript is spliced from 3 exons.